RNAcentral lists this ribosomal RNA (421 nucleotides) under uncultured bacterium. RNAcentral's name for it is "partial 16S ribosomal RNA". It matches the Rfam family "Bacterial small subunit ribosomal RNA", at positions 396 to 804 of the family's 1533-position model. The record is from RNAcentral.
GCCGCGUGCGAGGAUGAAGNCCUUCGGGUCGUAAACUCCUUUCGAUCGNGACGAAUGGUNUCCGGGUGAACAAUCCGGAGAAGUGACGGUACCGUAGCAGAAGAAGCCCCGGCUAACUCCGUGCCAGCAGCCGCGGUAAUACNGGGGGGGCAAGCGUUGUUCGGAAUUACUGGGCGUAAAGGGCUCGUAGGNGGCCGACUAAGUCAGACGUGAAAUCCCUCAGCUUAACUGGUGAACUGCGUCUGAUACUGGAUGGCUUGAGUUUGGGAGAGGGAUGCGGAAUUCCUNGUGUAGCGGUGAAAUGCGUANAUAUCUGGAGGAACACCGGUGGNGACACGCGGCAUCCUGGACCNNCNCUGACACUGAGGAUCGAAAGCCUGGGGAGCAAACGGGAUUAGAUACCCCGGUAGUCCUGGCCCUA